GAUGAACGCUGGCGGCGUGCCUAAUACAUGCAAGUCGAGCGAACAGACGAGGAGCUUGCUCCUCUGACGUUAGCGGCGGACGGGUGAGUAACACGUGGAUAACCUACCUAUAAGACUGGGAUAACUUCGGGAAACCGGAGCUAAUACCGGAUAACAUGUUGAACCGCAUGGUUCAACAGUGAAAGACGGUCUUGCUGUCACUUAUAGAUGGAUCCGCGCCGCAUUAGCUAGUUGGUAAGGUAACGGCUUACCAAGGCAACGAUGCGUAGCCGACCUGAGAGGAUGAUCGGCCACACUGGAACUGAGACACGGUCCAGACUCCUACGGGAGGCAGCAGUAGGGAAUCUGCCGCAAUGGGCGAAAGCCUGACGGAGCAACGCCGCGUGAGUGAAGAAGGUCUUCGGAUCGUAAAACUCUGUUAUUAGGGAAGAACAAAUGUGUAAGUAACUAUGCACGUCUUGACGGUACCUAAUCAGAAAGCAACGGCUAACUACGUG
This 497-nucleotide ribosomal RNA is filed under the name uncultured bacterium. RNAcentral's name for it is "partial 16S ribosomal RNA". It matches the Rfam family "Bacterial small subunit ribosomal RNA", at positions 28 to 507 of the family's 1533-position model. The record is from RNAcentral.